ACAAAGUGUCUUCUUUUUCAUAUAUAAUAACAUGCAUGGUGACAAGGAAACACUAAGCCCUACAUCAGGAAACAGGCCUAAUAGUCUAUUGGCAAAGCGGCCUAAUAGUCUAUUGGCAAAGCAGUAAUCAUACGAGAAGGCAGGAAGGGAGCAGGCGGGUGAGGCAGGCAGACGGCACAUUCUACAUUAAUCUACAACAAACUGAAGUAGGAUCUGCGUCAGCAUCCAGCAAUCCCUUGACCCAAACAAAGGACAAUGAUUGAGCCUCCAACCAAACAUGUUUUCUGGGUGGGCAAGAGGACAGACAAUGCGGGGCGACGGUGAUGCACUAGCCUUCAUUUCUUGAUUCCCACUCACGAUUUACAACACUUCCCACAUGAAGAUAUUUUGGAGGCAUCCAAGAGACAUAGUUUUGUCACGUGUCCUGCGCUCGUUUGCUGACCAUAGUAUUCUCUCUGAAAUCCUGCAACAUAGAUGAAGCUUUCUGUAGUUUUCCAUCACCACUGAUCUUGGGAAAUUGGCCACACCCCCACAGUGCUGAGGCUGGUAGCUGCGAGGUACAGGGCACUAUGAAGAAAAGUUUGGCCAGCAAGUUUGGCACUGGGGCUGGCCGUCCAGAAUACAUUGCAUACCCACUGCAGUGAUCAUCUUCAAGCUUUAGCUGUCAGCAGGUUAACUAACUGGAUACAUUGGCUGCCUACUGGAUGGCAGUCAUUCUUGCUUUUAAUUCAUGGAGAUACAAACCGAGUCU
This 751-nucleotide long non-coding RNA is filed under the name Triticum aestivum (bread wheat). RNAcentral's name for it is "long non-coding RNA (TAES_LNC000225)". The record is from RNAcentral. Lineage: Eukaryota; Viridiplantae; Streptophyta; Magnoliopsida; Poales; Poaceae.